GANAGCCACGGCUAACUACGUGCCAGCAGCCNCGGUAAUACGUAGGUGGCAAGCGUUAUCCNGNAUUAUUGGGCGUAAAGCGCGCGCAGGCGGUUUCUUAAGUCUGAUGUGAAAGCCCACGGCUCAACCGUGGAGGGUCAUUGGAAACUGGGGAACUNGAGUGCAGAAGAGAAAAGCGGAAUUCCACGUGUAGCGGUGAAAUGCGUAGAGAUGUGGAGGAACACCAGUGGCGAAGGCGGCUUUUUGGUCUGUAACUGACGCUGAGGCGCGAAAGCGUGGGGAGCAAACAGGAUUAGAUACCCUGGUAGUCCACGCCGUAANCGAUGAGUGCUAAGUGUUAGAGGGUUUCCGCCCUUUAGUGCUGCAGCUAACGCAUUAAGCACUCCGCCUGGGGAGUACGGUCGCAAGACUGAAACUCAAAGGAAUUGACGGGGGCCCGCACAAGCGGUGGAGCAUGUGGUUUANUUCGAAGCAACGCGAAGAACCUUACCAGGUCUUGACAUCCUCUGACAACUCUAGAGAUAGAGCGUUCCCCUUCGGGGGACAGAGUGNCAGGUGGUGCAUGGUUGUCGUCNGCUCGUGUCGUGAGAUGUUGGGUUAAGUCCCGCAACGAGCGCAACCCUUGAUCUUAGUUGCCAGCAUUUAGUUGGGCACUNUAAGGUGACUGCCGGUGACAAACCGGAGGANGGUGGGGAUGACGUCAAAUCAUCAUGCCCCUUA
RNAcentral lists this ribosomal RNA (720 nucleotides) under Bacillus sp. DCU25. RNAcentral's name for it is "bacterial SSU rRNA". It matches the Rfam family "Bacterial small subunit ribosomal RNA", at positions 486 to 1204 of the family's 1533-position model. The record is from RNAcentral. Lineage: Bacteria; Bacillati; Bacillota; Bacilli; Caryophanales; Bacillaceae.